Long non-coding RNA from Cucurbita maxima (winter squash), 1378 nucleotides. RefSeq lists it as uncharacterized. Lineage: Eukaryota; Viridiplantae; Streptophyta; Magnoliopsida; Cucurbitales; Cucurbitaceae. The record is from RefSeq and is a predicted model, not a curated record. The transcript has 2 exons.
UUCAUACCUUUCUCGGCCUUUUGGCUAAGAUCAAGUGUAGUAUCUGUUCUUAUCAGUUUAAUAUCUGAUACGUGGGCCAUCGGCCCACAUGAUAUUAAAUUAAUUUUUCAAGGGGGAGGGCCCAUCAAGGUAGCUUGCUACCUGGGCUUUCGAGCGUCGCCCUAGCGUUGCACUACUGCUUGGGCCUUGGCGCACCCCUCCAAUAUCAGUUCUCAAAGCAUUGUUUGGGCUUUACUGGAUUUAAGGAGAAUAUUAUUUAUUUGUAUAUUGUCAUCGUAGGUUAAAGAUUCUACUCAACUAGCCUACCCUUACUACUAGCAUCAUCUAGUUUGCUAAAGACGACAUGGUAGAUAUCGUGGAUGUCUCAAUGCCCUUGUUUUAGGUCCCUUGUGGUUCGAUGACUGAUUUGGUUUGUAUUGGGAUGAAGCGUAGAGGUCCGUUGUAUCGGAGUGGUUCAUCUUCAAAAGAAGAACAAAACUCCGAUGACAAGUACUUCUGCCUCAAAUAGCGGAGGUCCGUUGUAUCGGAGUGGUUCAUCUUCAAAAGAAGAACAAAACUCCAAUGACAAGUACUUCUGCCUCAAAUAGCGGACCCAACAGAUUUGUUUUUGAAAAGUCUCAAUGUCCUUGUUGAGGAUUGAACGGCCAAGUUAUUGAGGAUACGUUUGAGUGAAGUAAUGUUUAUUCAGAUAUUCUCGAUGAAGUAAUGUUUAUUCAGAUAUUCUCGACAUGUUCUCGAGAUGAAGACAAAUAUAUUUCAAUCCAAAAUACAAGAGUAAUUGGUUAUUGACAUGAACCCAUCACUAAAAAAAUAUUAAAAGUUUAGUUAUUGUAAAAUGAAAGAUUACAAGGGUUUAGGGUAUUAAAUACAAAAUUGGAAGAAGAAAUUUUCCUAUCGAGCAAUGGGCUGAUGGGCCAACACUAAAUGGGCUUUUAUAAUAUUGGGCUAAUGGGCUUUCUUUUUCUUCCAUUUAACCCAUCGGAAUGCUUCUUCUAUAAAUAGCUCCUGCUACAUCACAAUUUUCCAGACCCUAAACCCUAAAUUGUAUCUGCUCUGCAACAUCUCCGCCUCGUCUCUUAAUUUUUUUUUGCGUGUUCAUGAGAAGGCAGCAAUGAUGAUGAUUUCAUAUAAUCUCGUUAAUCCGAUCUCAAUGUGAGGAUAAACGCUUAUCCAUUCUUUUAUAUCUGAGCGCCUUCUCUUUCUCUGAAUUCUUUUUUUGUUGCUUUACUGUGUUUUCUGAACUUUUCAAGCAUUUGACAUGGCGGAGUAAUUGGAUCCAUUCUAUUUUCGGAUUUUUCUGAUUUUAAUUAACCAUGUUCGUUUUACUGUGUUUGUCAUGAUUCUAUUCGUCAAUUCUUGAUCUAUUUCGUUCGUUUUA